This is a long non-coding RNA of Dama dama (fallow deer), 4275 nucleotides long. RefSeq lists it as uncharacterized. The transcript has 4 exons. The record is from RefSeq and is a predicted model, not a curated record. Lineage: Eukaryota; Metazoa; Chordata; Mammalia; Artiodactyla; Cervidae.
UGCCCGCGUAUUGGUGCAGACCGGACUCCCCCCACGGGCCCAGCUGGAGUCAGGUGGCCGGGUCGGCUGGUGCUUCUGGUUGACAGCCACCAGCCUGCCUCCCGGACACAGACAGACAGACAGGCAGGCGGCACCUGCAAGCCGGACCAUUCAGAGAGGCAGAGAGCAAAGCAACCCAAUCGCCCACUACUUGGAAUGGAGAGGAGAGCACAUGUGUCCGCCAGGCCUGAGCAUGAACUGUAGUCUCCGGAUGGAAGGUGAUGCUUCUAGACGUUCCCAGGUCACUCUCAGCUGACCUCACCUGCGGACAGGUGCAGUGAAGGGCACCCCACCCUGCCCAGGGCCCUCCUCUCUGACGCCCCCAGUCAUUGAUUUACCAGCCAUGUUUGCCUUGGGAGGAGGUCAACGCACAGAGCCCCUGUCUGGGAAGCCGUGGCACGGAGGACGGACGCUUCCCAGAGCCCCGUGCUGGGCAUUCUGAGUGGAAAGCAGACCCUGUGGCCUGCCCUGCCGGGAUCAAUUUGACAGGACCCCAUGGAGUGUGAGAAACCAAUACGGCCCAUUCAACUUGAAAGCUCGUCUUGUUCAACUGUGUCCAUUUUUUCCCCAAGAAAUUUCACACCUUGACACAAAUGAGAAGAUCUUAAGAAAGAAUAAUUUAAUGUUAGGUAGCAUUUCCAACCGCGAUCAGAUGAGGAAACCGAGGCACGGAGAAUUUAAGUCACUUGCCCAGGGUCACACGGCUUGUCAGUGGUGGAGGCCCCCAGAGUCGGUGAGUCUAAACCCUCUGGUCAACCCAGAAGACUUCAGACAACAUCUGCCAGGUGAGUGGAUGUCCCUUGAAGGAGCGCCAGCGACAUCCCAAGUGGGAGGGGGGAUCCAUGCCAGGACCUCACCCACCCCUCCCACUGGGGGUCAGGGGUGAGUGUGAGAAGCACAGUGCUGAGGAGGGUUCUGGAACAGCUCUGAGCCCCCUGCGCCCCGGAUGUGGGCUGCUCCCAGGGUGUCAGACUCCCUCUGUCCCCACGCCCCCUCACCCCCAUCUCUGCCCACCUGGGUGCCCUGAGCUCUCUGAGCUCUCUGAGCCCUGAGCAUCUCUGCCCACAGGUGCCCUCUGCCCACCUCUCUGCCCACCUGGGCUCUGAGCUCCUGGGCGAGGGGGGUCUGGUGUUCACCAGCGGGUCCUGAGCUAGGCCCCUCCAAACCCUCCGACUCCCGCUCCAGCUGACCCAGCCCAGUGCUCCCUGGAGCUGCCCCAGCCCCCAGGCCCCUGCAGGUCAUCCGGACCGGGGGCGCAGCCCACCUUCUUUCAGCCACAGCGCCUGGGGCUGCCAGUCUGGGGGCGGGGGUGUCGGCUUCUCUGUGCUCAAGCACUUUCUGGAGUGUUUUAUGUGAUAUUAGCACUUCAGUGCAUCGGUCAACACUCCUAGGAAGCAGAAAGGAAGUGGGCGGAUGGAGAAACACAUUUCGUAAAAAGGGAAGGGAGUGGUUGAGGGAAGCAUCCUCAGAAAGGAGGACGUGAGACCCGCCGGGAAGAAGGUGGAGGUGGGCACGGCUAGACGUGGGCAAGACAGGAAGCUCCGCCUGCACCCCAAGCAAGCAGGGGUCCCGGGGAGAAGAGAAACUGCCCCCUAGGCCCCGGCCAGCGCCUGCAGGCCCUCAGCGACCCUUCCGGCUAGAGACCUCGCAGUCAGCCCGCUUUAUGAUUCAGUGGUGAGUUUUUAUUUUCAGGUUAAAAAAAAAGAAGAAGAACUGUCUGGUUCUUUCAACAACUCAUUUUUCUCAGCGUUUCUCUCGGGCCCUCGAAGGCUGUAAACAGAGUUUGUGGCUGCCCUGGGUUUCCUUCAAGGUCUUAGGAGCUUCUGUUUCCUGCUGGUGCGAGGUGGAAUGGAAAGCAAGCUCUCAGCCAAGCUGUCUCCAUCUCCAGGGGCAUCAGAUGAGGCAAUUCCACUGUAACCAGAGGCACUUUUAGAUAAAGGACUCUACCCGCCUGGUCUAAGAAAACCCGCUAUAGAAAUACCCACCUGCCUCUAAUAGACUGAAAGAAGUAUUCUCCACAUCUCCUGAUCAGCAUCCUCCAUAGUCAGGAUCCAGGCAAGAGAGAUCUGAUUCCGGAAACUUCCCUGGAUUAAAGCCACAGGUCUCCUCCACCUCUCUUAAAAUUAUAUCCAUUGAAUAUGUUGCACUUCAUGAUUUAUACAACAGGGGUUUUUUUUGUUCGUUUUUUAAAGUUUUUUUUUUUUUUUUCUGAUGUGGACCAUUUAAAAAGUCUUUAUUGAACUUGUUACAAUCUUGUUGACAGCCUAGACAGAAUAUUAAAAAGCAGACAUCACUUGGCCGACAAAUGUCUGUCUAGUCAAAGCUAUGGUUUUUGCAGUAGUCGUGUUCAGAUGUGAGAGCUGGACCAUAAAAAAGGCUGAGCGCCGAAGGAUUGAUGCUAAUUGUAGUGCUGGAGAACUCUUGAGAGUCCCUUGGACUGCAGGGAGAUCAAACCAGUCAAUCUGAAGGGAAAUCAACCCUGAAUACUCAUUGGAAGGACUGAUGGUGAAGCUGAAGCUUCAGUACUUUGACCACCUGAUGUAAAGAGCCGACUCACUGGAAAAGACCCUGAUGCUGGGAAAGAUUGAGGAUAGGAGAAGAGGGCGACAGAGGAUGAGAUGGUUAGAUACUCAAUGGACAUGAGUUUGAGCGAACUCUGGAAGUUAGGGAAGGACAGAGGAGCCUGGGAUGCUGUAGUCCAUGGUGUUACCAAGAGUCAGACAUGACUUAGCGACUGAACGACAACAAUCUUGUUUCUGUUUUAUGUUCUGGUUUUAUGAUGCCUCUGGCCGUGAGGCAUCUUAGCUCCCUGACCAGGGAUUGAACCUGCCCCACCUGCAUUGGAAGGCAAAGUCCUAACCUUUGGACCUCCAAGGGAGUCCCUAAAAAGCAGUUUUGCAAACGUAUUUUCAUCUGGCUUUUGCAUGUCUUCUGGGGUGAAAGCUCACUCAGGAAAGCCUCCUGACUUGACCCAGGCCCCAUCUGUGAGCCAGGGAGGAGGGUCAGAGUAUGGGGCCAGUUUGGAGCCCUUUCGCUAGUGGGAAGGUCACUGUCAUCUAAGGGCUCACACGUCCCCAGGCCUUGCCUCUCUCUGACUUAUGAUGCCGGUGAACCUAGGGAGCGAUAAGACUUGGUGAUGGGACCCAGCCAACACUCGUCCUUGGCCCCUUCCUCCUCCUCCCACUCGGAUGUAACAGGCAGCGCGCAGGGCCGGCCACCCUCUCCUCUCUCAUGAGGCAGCCAGGCGCUCAGUCCAGGCCAGCUGGGUCUUAGGCUCGGGGGAUCGACAUGGUCUGUCUUGCUCCCUGCCUGUCUCUGGCUGCAUCUUCUGGGGCUGGUGGAUUGAACAGUUGGUCUUUUGUCCCAAAUCCCUGCAAAGCAGCCCACCACUUGGGUCAUUAGGCCCAGAGGGGACGGCCAGGUCCUGCCGUGGCACCUGUGAGGCGUGGACCCUGGAGUCGGGGAGAGUUUGACCCCAGCCUCAGAAGCAGUUUCUUCCCUGGGGUCUGUGUAGGCAGCUUCUGGCCUCAUAUGGGAAGGAGGACCCCAAAAUGUGGAUGCCCCACCUUGGCCUGGCCUGAUGUUCCACCAUGAGUCAACAUAAGGCUGGCUACUUAUGGCCAGCCCCUUAGAAAGGAUUAAAUAAUAAUAAUAAUACCAUUGGUGGCUACAAAUUAUUACUAAAUGAGCUGCUAUGUAAAUGAACCCUGGGAAAUAUCUUCAAUUUCAACUUAAGAAAAACCAAACAUUUCUGCUUUCUGAUUCUAUUAGAAUCCCAGUAAAGCAUGCUGUGUGCCUUCCAAUGCAAAGCUGUGCUAGACCCUAGGUUGAGAGGAACAGUUCCUAGAAGGUUCUAGAAGGACCCACUUGGUCCACACCCAGAAGUUCUCCUGUGCAGCCACUCGAGGUACCCAGGCUUGGCACCCGGAGGUCCAUCAUCAUCUGUGUCUGCUCCUUUUAAAGGAGCCUCUUGUCUUCCUUAGCAGGUAGGAAGGAGGUUUCCGUGAUGGUUAAUUAUAUGUAUCAACUUCACUGGAUCACAGGGGAUAUAUAUAUAUAUAGAUUCUGUUUCUCUGGAGAACCUUAAUUAAUACAGUUUCCUUUUUGUGCCUAAAAACAUCUCUUUUUUUAAGAGGUUAUUUUUCUCUCCUUCCCCCUCAGCUCGUCAUCCCUAUUCUGUAAAUACUACAGGAAGAGAAGCAAUUAAUUCACCUGCAAGAAACAGGAGAUCAGACU